This 516-nucleotide ribosomal RNA is filed under the name uncultured Flavobacterium sp. RNAcentral's name for it is "bacterial SSU rRNA". It matches the Rfam family "Bacterial small subunit ribosomal RNA", at positions 9 to 524 of the family's 1533-position model. The record is from RNAcentral. Lineage: Bacteria; Pseudomonadati; Bacteroidota; Flavobacteriia; Flavobacteriales; Flavobacteriaceae.
GAGUUUGAUCGUGGCUCAGGAUGAACGCUAGCGGCAGGCUUAACACAUGCAAGUCGAGGGGUAGAAGGAGCUUGCUCCUUUGAGACCGGCGCACGGGUGCGUAACGCGUAUGCAACCUACCCUGAACAGGGGAAUAGCCCAGAGAAAUUUGGAUUAAUACCUCAUAGUAUUAUUGAAUGGCAUCAUUUAAUAAUUAAAGUUCCAACGGUAAAAGAUGAGCAUGCGUCCCAUUAGCUAGAUGGUAAGGUAACGGCUUACCAUGGCGACGAUGGGUAGGGGUCCUGAGAGGGAGAUCACCCACACUGGUACUGAGACACGGACCAGACUCCUACGGGAGGCAGCAGUGAGGAAUAUUGGUCAAUGGGCGCAAGCCUGAACCAGCCAUGCCGCGUGCAGGAUGACGGUCCUAUGGAUUGUAAACUGCUUUUGUACAGGAAGAAACAGUUCUACGUGUAGAACCUUGACGGUACUGUAAGAAUAAGGAUCGGCUAACUCCGUGCCAGCCGCCGCCGUAAC